Molecule: ribosomal RNA, 465 nt
Filed under: uncultured bacterium
Lineage: Bacteria
Description: partial 16S ribosomal RNA
Rfam family: Bacterial small subunit ribosomal RNA
Source: RNAcentral
GACGAACGCUGGCGGCGUGCUUAACACAUGCAAGUCGAACGGAAAGGCCCCUUUGGGGGUACUCGAGUGGCGCACGGGUGAGUAACACGUGAGUAACCUGCCCUUGACUUCGGGAUAACUUCAGGAAACUGGGGCUAAUACCGGAUAGGAAUCCUUGCUGCAUGGUGGGGGUUGGAAAGCUUCGGCGGUUUUGGAUGGACUCGCGGCUUAUCAGCUUGUUGGUGGGGUAGUGGCUUACCAAGGCUUUGACGGGUAGCCGGCCUGAGAGGGCGACCGGCCACAUUGGGACUGAGAUACGGCCCAGACUCCUACGGGAGGCAGCAGUGGGGAAUAUUGCACAAUGGGCGGAAGCCUGAUGCAGCAACGCCGCGGGCGGGAUGACGGCCUUAGGGUUGUAAACCGCUUUCAGCAGGGGCGAAGCUUGUGGUGACGGUACCUGCAGAAGAAGCACCGGCUAACUACGUG